Molecule: long non-coding RNA, 1966 nt
Filed under: Eucalyptus grandis
Lineage: Eukaryota; Viridiplantae; Streptophyta; Magnoliopsida; Myrtales; Myrtaceae
Description: long non-coding RNA (EGRA_LNC000093)
Source: RNAcentral
GUUGAUUCCGGCGAGUCAAGCUUUCAGGAGCCGAAUCCCCUGAACAUUUUGCCGACUGGAAUGUUAUGCUGAUGCAAGUUCCUUAAAGAAAGACUUUUUUAUGUCAUUAUCAUAGAGUCAACGAAAAAGGAGUCUUACCGCUCGGCUGCGCCAGGUAAGCUCCAAAAUAUGUUUUACAUGUGUAAAAUAUUACUACUCACAUUUUUGUCCGAUUAGUAAUUCAAACAACGAUUUUACCUUGAUCAAGUUACACGAUAAUAGAUUGUCAAGUGCUUUUAGACUGGACAAUAAAAGGCCUCCUCAGUUGUUUAGUAACUUAACAACAAGAUAAUGAUUUUUCCACUCAUAUUCCACAGUAGAUUACAAAGUGUUUAAAAUUUUUCAAGUGGACCUAUUAAUUAAACACGUUAAAAGGUUAGCCGUGCCAUGUUAUCCAAUCGACAUCCACACCUCAGCAAUAUACAACCAAAAUUAGCCAGAAUGAUUGAAUUUGUGCUAGGUCAAAAAGUUUAGAGUUGAAUUGGCACAAAGUGAAAUGUUUAAAACUAAAUUGACAUUUAAAUUUUGGGGACUUUUAAAAUUUUCUAUUUUUAAAUAAUUUUUAUUCCAAAAAUAGGGAUUCGGGUUGGGCCCCUGAGCCUGGUCCGAAUAUGGGCCAAAAUCUGGUCUCAUGGGUUUGGGCCACAAACGAGAUUCGGCUCAAGGCACCCGGAGCCCAUUGUCAAUAGCGAUUUAAGUCCAACUGAAAAGCAAAUUUGGUCCAACCUAAUUUCAACGACGUCCUCUUCAAGAACGAAAGCCCAACUCGUUCAUGGCUCCCACCAAACACCUCAGAACAUUACAAAUAUGUUUUCAACAUUUGGCCAAAUGCCAAGACUCAUUUUUUUUCUUUCAAAAUUAUUUGUACCAAUUCUUCAAAUUUUCGAUUUUGUCCCUCAUUAGUUUUUUUUUUUAAAUUAAAAAAUGACAAAAUCCUUUGUCGGUCAAGCAAAGGGCUAUGGCCGCCAACGAGCCAGACCUGAUGCGUGGCGGCAAUUGGUCAAGGUCGAGCAACCCUAAUGAGGGCUGUUGAAGGUCACACGACAUUGCGUGACCCAGGCUAUGUGCGGCCCAAGCAACCAUUGCCUAGGUCUCAUGGCCUUAGGUAGCCCCCGUUUGGGUCUCACAAGGGUCACGAGGUCUGCUUGAGGCCGCAAGACCUAGGCAACGGUAGCCCAAGGUUGAGCGAUCUCCGGUGGCCCUUGCUAGGGUUGUGUGACCCUCACCGGAGGUUGCCCAAUCUCAAGCAACCUUGAUGAUUGAUCGCCGGUGGUCAUAGCCCUUCACUGGACUAGCAAAGUGUUUGGUCUUCCCUUUGUUUUUUUCAAAUUUUAAAUAUAUUUGAUUUUUUAAAAUUAUAAAUAAAUAAAAAAUUUAAAAAAUAUUAAUCAUUAAAGGGCUUCUCAAAUAUGUUUUUUUUUAUUAUUUAUUUUAUUGAAUGGCAUUUCUCUCAAAUUAUUUUUGAAAGCAUAGUUUAUCAAACGCCCUUUGUAUUUACCUAAAACUCUUUAAAGUAAGUUGUUUUACAUUUUUCUUAUAGGCUUUCAAAAUAUUAAAUCAAACGCACCUUAUAUGCAUUGAAAGGUUUGGAUGUAGUGAUCAGCAUUUAGAACAGCAACGGGGUCACCAAUCAUCAACUAAUGACUCGGAUUUGUCAGUGACUUUCACAAAAGCAUCACAAAUACAGUUCGGCCUUGAGUCUUACCAAAAAACAGGGCAAAACACAGAAGGUGGUGUUACCGUGCAGAGGAGAUAUUCUUGGCUACGAUCACUAGUCCAGUCAGCGCUUGGGAAAUUAGGGAAACGUCGCUUGAGGGUGGUGAGCAUGGGCUUCGGAUUUGAAGAGCUCGGUUUGAGUCUCCGAGGUGGAGGGCCGGGCCAAGGGGGGCACUCUUCGUGGCGGCCGAACUGAGAGAGUGACGGGAGA